Molecule: ribosomal RNA, 253 nt
Filed under: uncultured bacterium
Lineage: Bacteria
Description: partial 16S ribosomal RNA
Rfam family: Bacterial small subunit ribosomal RNA
Source: RNAcentral
UACGUAGGGUGCGAGCGUUGUCCGGAAUUAUUGGGCGUAAAGAGCUCGUAGGCGGUUUGUCACGUCGGAUGUGAAACCCCGGGGCUUAACUCCGGGCCUGCAUUCGAUACGGGCUGACUAGAGUUCGGCAGGGGAGACUGGAAUUUACGGUGUAGCAGUGAAAUGCGUAGAUAUCGUAAGGAAGACCAGUGGCGAAGGCGAGUCUCUGGACAGUUACUGACGCUGAGGCACGAAGGCCAGGGGAGCAAACGGG